AAGUCGUAACAAGGUUUCCGUAGGUGAACCUGCGGAAGGAUCAUUACAAAGACUUUUUUUUUGUGAAUCGGAAGUCUAGUGCUUCAUGAUACACCAAAAAAAAAUCACACCCAUCUUUGUUCUGCUCUCAAGUUUCUUGAGAGUUGGAAUAAAAGAACAUCUUUUGUGCACCGUAAAAACAUUCGCGUUUAAAAUUUACUAAAGCCUUAUGCAACAUACUUGAAUCUUAUAUUUAAUUCUUCACAGAAUAAAAAAAUAAGAGACAAAUAAUACAAAAACAACUUUUAACAAUGGAUCUCUUGGCUCUC
RNAcentral lists this unclassified non-coding RNA (308 nucleotides) under fungal sp. RNAcentral describes it as "partial internal transcribed spacer region". The stretch from base 1 to 46 matches the Rfam family "Eukaryotic small subunit ribosomal RNA", at positions 1786 to 1831 of the family's 1831-position model. The record is from RNAcentral. Lineage: Eukaryota; Fungi.